Molecule: long non-coding RNA, 262 nt
Filed under: Prunus persica (peach)
Lineage: Eukaryota; Viridiplantae; Streptophyta; Magnoliopsida; Rosales; Rosaceae
Description: long non-coding RNA (PPER_LNC003729)
Source: RNAcentral
GAUGGACAACCAUAGAAGCGGGGAAAACCUUAGAAAUGAGGUAAAUUAUUUGUCAUUUUCGUUCUAUUAAUUUCUAUGUCAUAUUAAUUUUUAUUUAAAUGUUUCUUGCAAUUUAUAUAUUUUGCUAAUAUUUAUUGUAUUUUUUUUUUUUAUACAUGUUGCAUUUUUUUUAAAAUUUAUUGCUUUUGCAUUAGUUUUUUUUUUACAUGUUGCAUUGCCAAUAUUUUUUUAAAGUUUCUUGCAUUUCCAUUUAAUUUUUUUU